RNAcentral lists this ribosomal RNA (443 nucleotides) under uncultured bacterium. RNAcentral's name for it is "partial 16S ribosomal RNA". It matches the Rfam family "Bacterial small subunit ribosomal RNA", at positions 338 to 795 of the family's 1533-position model. The record is from RNAcentral.
CCUACGGGAGGCAGCAGUGGGGAAUAUUGGACAAUGGGGGGAACCCUGAUCCAGCGACGCCGCGUGAGUGAAGAAGUAUUUCGGUAUGUAAAGCUCUAUCAGCAGGGAAGAAAGAAAUGACGGUACCUGACUAAGAAGCCCCGGCUACCUACGUGCCCGCAGCCGCGGUAAGACGUAGGGGGCAAGCGUUAUCCGGAUUUACUGGGGGGAAGGGGAGCGUCGACGGCGAUGCAAGUCUGAUGUGAAAGGCGGGGGCCCAACCCCUGGACUGCUUUGGAAACUGUAGGGCUGGAGUGCAGGAGAGGUAAGUGGAAUUCUUAGUGUAGCGGUGAAAUGCGUAGAUAUUAGGAGGAACACCAGUGGCGAAGGCGGCUUACUGGACUGUAACUGACGUUGAGGCUCGAAAGCGUGGGGAGCAAACAGGAUUAGAUACCCCAGUAGUC